GACGAACGCUGGCGGCGUGCCUAAUACAUGCAAGUCGAGCGAAUCACUUCGGUGGUUAGCGGCGGACGGGUGAGUAACACGUGGGCAACCUGCCUGUAAGACUGGGAUAACACCGGGAAA
Molecule: ribosomal RNA, 120 nt
Filed under: uncultured bacterium
Lineage: Bacteria
Description: partial 16S ribosomal RNA
Rfam family: Bacterial small subunit ribosomal RNA
Source: RNAcentral